RNAcentral lists this ribosomal RNA (492 nucleotides) under uncultured bacterium. Its description in RNAcentral is "partial 16S ribosomal RNA". It matches the Rfam family "Bacterial small subunit ribosomal RNA", at positions 29 to 507 of the family's 1533-position model. The record is from RNAcentral.
AGUGAACGCUGGCGGUAGGCCUAACACAUGCAAGUCGAACGGCAGCACAGUAAGAGCUUGCUCUUACGGGUGGCGAGUGGCGGACGGGUGAGGAAUACAUCGGAAUCUACUUUUUCGUGGGGGAUAACGUAGGGAAACUUACGCUAAUACCGCAUACGACCUACGGGUGAAAGCAGGGGAUCUUCGGACCUUGCGCGAUUGAAUGAGCCGAUGUCGGAUUAGCUAGUUGGCGGGGUAAAGGCCCACCAAGGCGACGAUCCGUAGCUGGUCUGAGAGGAUGAUCAGCCACACUGGAACUGAGAAACGGUCCAGACUCCUACGGGAGGCAGCAGUGGGGAAUAUUGGACAAUGGGCGCAAGCAUGAUCCAGCCAUACCGCGUGGGUGAAGAAGGCCUUCGGGUUGUAAAGCCCUUUUGUUGGGAAAGAAAAGCAGCAGGUUAAUACCCCGCUGUUCUGACGGUACCCAAAGAAUAAGCACCGGCUAACUUCGUG